Paramuricea clavata is the source of this 643-nucleotide non-coding RNA. NCBI's taxonomy places the organism in Eukaryota, Metazoa, Cnidaria, Anthozoa, Malacalcyonacea, Plexauridae. The record is from the annotation of a GenBank genome assembly.
UUAAACAAAAUUUCAAACACUCAAUAAUUCAUAAGCUUAUUGGCAAAUCAUGUCAACCAUAAUAUGUCACGUGCAGUGGCUUUAAACCUGAUAAAACACUCCUAAUUAGUAUUAUUUAUAUAAAGAAUACUAAUAAGGCAGUAUCUAUUCCUUAAUUAUCAAAAAUUUUCCAGAAAAAUUCGGGGGGGGGCUAAAGCCCCCCUAGCCCCCCCCCACCCUGUUCCGCCGCCACUGUAACGCAGGCAAGUUUGACUCAGUAAAUAUACUGCCCAGAUAGUUCUAACUGACAGACGAUCCGUUAUUAAUUAUGGUUGGUUAUUUUCAGCUUUUCAAUAACAGGAAUUCUGGUUCGUUACAACAUCCCUUUAACAUUACGUUGCUUUUAUAAAAAUGACGUAUUUGCAUUUACGUGACUCACGCAGAUUCCGGUAAUCGGAAACCAAAUCAACGUAAUCAUGACGUCAUUUGCGUUUUUUAGUUUAUUGGAAAAUUCUUGUUCCAAAAAUAAUUUAAGGCUGUUAUUUUUAACGGCCAGUUGUCGAGCUCUAAUCACAAGUUCAUGUAUUUAUAUACUAGCCUACUAGGGUAAGUGGUUAGCGCACUUGCCUUUCACCUCUGAGGCCGCAGGUUCAAGCCUCAGUGA